This 472-nucleotide ribosomal RNA is filed under the name uncultured bacterium. Its description in RNAcentral is "SSU rRNA". It matches the Rfam family "Bacterial small subunit ribosomal RNA", at positions 26 to 518 of the family's 1533-position model. The record is from RNAcentral.
AGGACGAACGCUGGCGGCGUGCUUAACACAUGCAAGUCGAGCGGAAAGGCCCUUCGGGGUACUCGAGCGGCGAACGGGUGAGUAACACGUGAGUAAUCUGCCCCUAGCUCUGGGAUAGCUCCGGGAAAACCGGGAUUAAUACCAGAUACGACCACUUUAGACAUCUGUUGUGGUGGAAAGAAUUUUGGCUAGGGAUGAGCUCGCGGCCUAUCAGCUUGUUGGUGAGGUAACGGCUCACCAAGGCGACGACGGGUAGCCGGCCUGAGAGGGCGACCGGCCACACUGGGACUGAGACACGGCCCAGACUCCUACGGGAGGCAGCAGUGGGGAAUAUUGCGCAAUGGGCGAAAGCCUGACGCAGCGACGCCGCGUGGGGGAUGAAGGCCUUCGGGUUGUAACCCUUUCAGCAGGACGAAGCGAAAGUGACGGUACCUGCAGAAGAAGCGCCGGCUAACUACGCGCCAGCAGCCGC